ACACUGUAAUGAACAUAGAAUAUUCCAAAUACAAAUAAGCGUUGUACAAAAAAUACAUAUGGGUCUACAUAUAUAAAUAAAAUUUAUAUACAUGCACAUGAACCAUAUUAAUAUAUAUACAACAAGGAUUUGUAUGUAUAUACAAAUGAGUACCUAUUAGCUAAAUACAUUUGUAAAAUACACCCUUGUGAUAAACACAUAUACAAAUACCUCUUCUUCUUUGUCUUUAUCUGAAUCAUCUUCAGAGAGUUUUCAACAUCAGAACUUGGAAUUUUGUUUGUUUUACCGAUUUCUUUUGCUUUUUUUCUUUUUUUCUCCGAUUCUUUUAUUUUUGGGGGUUUUGAAGAUGAAACUGUUAUCAAUCCUUUUUAUUUCAUAGUUUUGGCCAUAUUUUUGGAUCAUUGUGAUGCUUCGACCUCACCUCUUCAACACAUUAAUUUCUUCAGCUAUUUAGACAUAGAACCCACUUUAACAAUUUCAUCUUUAGAUAUACCAAUACUAAAUGAUGAAGGAUUAUGAUAAACUAAAUUGAUAGGUUUGUUCUUUCAUUAGAGAAUACCUCUACACCAUAACAACAAUGGUGACAAAAAUACAAAAAU
This 599-nucleotide long non-coding RNA is filed under the name Capsicum annuum. RNAcentral's name for it is "long non-coding RNA (CANN_LNC021740)". The record is from RNAcentral. Lineage: Eukaryota; Viridiplantae; Streptophyta; Magnoliopsida; Solanales; Solanaceae.